RNAcentral lists this ribosomal RNA (135 nucleotides) under Salmonella enterica subsp. enterica serovar Typhimurium. RNAcentral's name for it is "partial 23S ribosomal RNA". The record is from RNAcentral. Lineage: Bacteria; Pseudomonadati; Pseudomonadota; Gammaproteobacteria; Enterobacterales; Enterobacteriaceae.
GUUCUCCCUGAGACUUWRRGUCUCCUGAAGGAACGUUGAAGACGACGACGUUGAUAGGCCGGGUGUGUAAGCGCAGCGAUGCGUUGAGCUAACCGGUACUAAUGAACCGUGAGGCUUAACCUUACAACGCCGAAG